This is an RNA transcript of Carya illinoinensis, 1503 nucleotides long. RefSeq lists it as uncharacterized. The record is from RefSeq and is a predicted model, not a curated record. Lineage: Eukaryota; Viridiplantae; Streptophyta; Magnoliopsida; Fagales; Juglandaceae. The transcript has 2 exons.
UUUUCUUAAACAAAAGGUCAAACACCCACUCUCCUGAUGGAUCGUCAGCUCCUCAACGGGUAACAAAGAAAUUGCAAUGGUGUAUUCGAUUGCCUCGUGGCUUUUCUAAGAGAAAGAAAGGAAAAACCAGAGGAAAAAUAAACGAGAAAAACACUAGCGCAUAGACAAAUGGCAUCCCUGGCAACCCAUUUCUCGGCCUUCCUCCUCCUCUUCCCCGUAGGCCUCCGCCGCCUCCACUCCUCCUCCUCUCUCUACCUCAAAAACCCAUCUGUCUACCGCUCCAAAACGUGGUAUUUUUCCGAACCCAGAUGGAAAAACCUCGAUUUCUACAGCCUCAUCAUCGCCCUCCCCAUUGCCUCCUUCUCCGAAAUCUUCAUCUUCUUGACCUUCUCCGGUCACCCCACCUACCGAUUCUCAUUUUUCCAGCAAUCAGUGACACUUUUUCUCUUCUGGGCAUUGAUCAUUCUCGUCAUUCUCCGUGAAUACACAGGCCCUUUGCUUAUAAAUGAAGGUUUUGUAUUCUUAUUCGCUGGAAUUUCAUUUAUUGUCGAAUAUUCAGUGAUCGGGAAGGGAAUUACGGGUGUCUCUGGGGCUGUGUAUGAUUUGUUAGGUGCGUUGACGAUCCUUUGUGCAGGUUCUUCCUUGUAUUUAUCUGUCAACCCUUCAGCGUUCUUCGCCGAGUUUUUGUUAUCAUCAGGAUUGGUUUUCAAGGGCACUUGGGUGUUACAGACCGGCUUGUCUUUGUACACCGAUGUAUUUGGUUUAAAAGGAUGCAAAAAAAUGUCCUUAUUGUCGGCUCAGGGGAAUGCUGAUUUGCAAUGUGAUCUUCAGGAGGAUAGGUUAAGGGGUGUUGCUCUGAUGAAUUUGCUAUUUACUGGGCAUGCAAUCCUGGUCUUGGCUGUUAGCAUUGUGUUGUUUGGGUUGCUGUCGAGUAACCGGGCUUUAAGGUGUGGCGAGGCAAGCGGGCCGUUGCUAAUGGAGCUUGAGUCCGAGACAAUGUCGAUGCGUGCACAUCCGGAGCUUGAGAUGGACUGAGAUAUAUGGUCUUUUUUGCUGUUUUUCACUGUAUUUAGUGCAAAAGAAUUGGUCUAAUGGGGGGAUUAGGGCUGUUCAUUCUCUACAGGUGCCCCCGGGAAAAUUUCUGGCAUUGUUUUUGUCUCCAGAAGCGCUAGCCAGAAAGUUCGCAUGACGCUUAGCUUGAGUGAAGCGCAGGCAGAGGGUUUGCUCGAGCGAACAUCGGAUAGAGAGUUUGCUCGAGGCGUGCUCAAUACUCCGCUUGAGCGAAUAACGCAGAUUAGUGAAAAUUAGGGUUUUCGCUGUAUGACAUUAUAAUUAUGUAUUUAAUGAACUAAGUUCUGAGGCUUUUGAGUAGUGAAAUUUUGCCCUAAAGUGUAUUUUGUGAUUUUUCAGUACAAUAAAAUCUUCUGUAGCUCUGUGGACGUAGGUACAUUGUCGAACCACGUUAAUUUUGUGUCGUGUGAUUGAUUUACUUGUGUUUACUUU